This 925-nucleotide ribosomal RNA is filed under the name uncultured bacterium. RNAcentral describes it as "bacterial SSU rRNA". It matches the Rfam family "Bacterial small subunit ribosomal RNA", at positions 60 to 979 of the family's 1533-position model. The record is from RNAcentral.
AGUCGANCGGCAGCACGGAGCUUGCUCUGGUGGCGAGUGGCGAACGGGUGAGUAAUGCGUCGGAACGUAUCCAAUAAUGGGGGAUAACGCAGCGAAAGCUGUGCUAAUACCGCAUACGCCCUCCGGGGGAAAGCAGGGGAUCUUCGGACCUUGCGUUAAUGGAGCGGCCGACGUCUGAUUAGCUAGUUGGUAGGGUAAAGGCCUACCAAGGCGACGAUCAGUAGCUGGUCUGAGAGGAUGAUCAGCCACACUGGGACUGAGACACGGCCCAGACUCCUACGGGAGGCAGCAGUGGGGAAUUUUGGACAAUGGGCGCAAGCCUGAUCCAGCCAUUCCGCGUGAGUGAAGAAGGCCUUCGGGUUGUAAAGCUCUUUCAGGAGGGAAGAAACGAUUGUGGCUAAUACCCAUGAUUAAUGACGGUACCUUCAGAAGAAGCACCGGCUAACUACGUGCCAGCAGCCGCGGUAAUACGUAGGGUGCGAGCGUUAAUCGGAAUUACUGGGCGUAAAGCGUGCGCAGGCGGUUUUUCAAGUCUGAUGUGAAAUCCCCGGGCUUAACCUGGGAACUGCGUUGGAAACUGAAAGACUAGAGUGCGGCAGAGGGGGGUAGAAUUCCACGUGUAGCAGUGAAAUGCGUAGAUAUGUGGAGGAAUACCGAUGGCGAAGGCAGCCCCCUGGGUCGACACUGACGCUCAUGCACGAAAGCGUGGGUAGCAAACAGGAUUAGAUACCCUGGUAGUCCACGCCCUAAACGAUGUCAACUAGUUGUUGGGGAGGGAGACCUCCUUAGUAACGCAGCUAACGCGUGAAGUUGACCGCCUGGGGAGUACGGUCGCAAGAUUAAAACUCAAAGGAAUUGACGGGGGCCCGCACAAGCGGUGGAUUAUGUGGAUUAAUUCGAUGCANCGCGAAAAACNUUAUCUACC